RNAcentral lists this non-coding RNA (863 nucleotides) under Trichomonas vaginalis G3. Its description in RNAcentral is "Eukaryotic small subunit ribosomal RNA". It matches the Rfam family "Eukaryotic small subunit ribosomal RNA", at positions 906 to 1831 of the family's 1831-position model. The record is from Rfam by way of RNAcentral. Lineage: Eukaryota; Parabasalia; Trichomonadida; Trichomonadidae.
GAGUGGUGGAUACUUUGACUCAUGAGAGAGAAGCUGAGGCGAAGGCGUCUACCUAGAGGGUUUCUGUCGAUCAAGGGCGAGAGUAGGAGUAUCCAACAGGAUUAGAGACCCUGGUAGUUCCUACCUUAAACGAUGCCGACAGGAGUUUGUCAUUUGUUAAUGGCAGAAUCUUUGGAGAAAUCAUAGUUCUUGGGCUCUGGGGGAACUACGACCGCAAGGCUGAAACUUGAAGGAAUUGACGGAAGGGCACACCAGGGGUGGAGCCUGUGGCUUAAUUUGAAUCAACACGGGGAAACUUACCAGGACCAGAUGUUUUUUAUGACUGACAGGCUUCGGGUCUUUCAGGAUAUUGUUUUUGGUGGUGCAUGGCCGUUGGUGGUGCGUGGGUUGACCUGUCUAGCGUUGAUUCAGCUAACGAGCGAGAUUAUCGCCAAUUAUUUACUUUGCCGAAGUCCUUCGGUUAAAGUUCUAAUUGGGACUCCCUGCGAUUUUAGCAGGUGGAAGAGGGUAGCAAUAACAGGUCCGUGAUGCCCUUUAGAUGCUCUGGGCUGCACGCGUGCUACAAUGUUAGGAUCAAUAGGACUGCGAGCCUGAGAGGGUGCGCUACUCUUAUAAUCCCUAACGUAGUUGGGAUUGACGUUUGUAAUCAGCGUCAUGAACCAGGAAUCCCUUGUAAAUGUGUGUCAACAACGCACGUUGAAUACGUCCCUGCCCUUUGUACACACCGCCCGUCGCUCCUACCGAUUGGAUGACUCGGUGAAAUCACCGGAUGCUUACGAGCAGAAAGUGAUUAAAUCACGUUAUCUAGAGGAAGGAGAAGUCGUAACAAGGUAACGGUAGGUGAACCUGCCGUUGGAUCAGUU